GUGCUCACUUCAGCAGCACAUAUACUAAAUAAAAUUGGAGCAACACAGAGAAGAUUAGUACAACCCUUGCACAAGGAUGACAUGCAAAUUCAUGAAAUGUUCCAUAUUAAA
RNAcentral lists this small nuclear RNA (111 nucleotides) under Sciurus vulgaris (Eurasian red squirrel). Lineage: Eukaryota; Metazoa; Chordata; Mammalia; Rodentia; Sciuridae. The record is from RNAcentral.